RNAcentral lists this ribosomal RNA (402 nucleotides) under uncultured bacterium. RNAcentral's name for it is "bacterial SSU rRNA". It matches the Rfam family "Bacterial small subunit ribosomal RNA", at positions 355 to 750 of the family's 1533-position model. The record is from RNAcentral.
UGGGGAAUUUUGGACAAUGGGCGAAAGCCUGAUCCAGCCAUGCCGCGUGAGUGAAGAAGGCCUUCGGGUUGUAAAGCUCUUUUAGUCGGAAAGAAAGAUCAUAAUGAACAAUUAUGAUUCAUGACGGUACCGACAGAAAAAGCACCGGCUAACUACGUGCCAGCAGCCGCGGUAAUACGUAGGGUGCGAGCGUUAAUCGGAAUUACUGGGCGUAAAGGGUGCGCAGGCGGUUUUGUAAGUCAGAUGUGAAAUCCCCGGGCUUAACCUGGGAAUUGCGUUUGAAACUGCAAGACUAGAGUGCAGCAGAGGGGAGUGGAAUUCCAUGUGUAGCAGUGAAAUGCGUAGAGAUGUGGAAGAACACCGAUGGCGAAGGCAGCUCCCUGGGUUGACACUGACGCUCAU